Non-coding RNA from Camelina sativa (false flax), 306 nucleotides. Lineage: Eukaryota; Viridiplantae; Streptophyta; Magnoliopsida; Brassicales; Brassicaceae. The record is from RefSeq and is a predicted model, not a curated record.
UCUCUCUCUCUCCGCUUCCAUCAUCUUAGGAUCUCUCUCUCAAUCUCUCUCUAUAUUGACUGAUCGAUUAGGGUUUUCAAGCUGAAUUCGCUACUCGUCCACCGCGAAGAAGCGUUCACCUUGAUUCUAGGUUAGGUUUUUUUUUGGCGGAUCUAGCCAAGUCCUCCUUUGUUUUUUUUCUUUUCCAGCUACGGCGAAGCUUCACAUCUCCACUCCUCCCUCGCUACCAUGUUCUGGAAGCUCACAUCUCUUUCUGCGUCAUCUCCUGUGGAGACAAUUUUAGACAAAGAGAAUUUCACGUUGGAA